UGCAGUCGAGCGGAACGAUCCUAGCUUGCUAGGAGGCGUCGAGCGGCGGACGGGUGAGUAAUGCAUAGGAAUCUGCCCGAUAGUGGGGGAUAACCUGAGGAAACUCAGGCUAAUACCGCAUACGUCCUACGGGAGAAAGCAGGGGCUCUUCGGACCUUGCGCUAUCGGAUGAGCUUAUGUCGGAUUAGCUGGUUGGUGAGGUAACGGCUCACCAAGGCGACGAUCCGUAGCUGGUCUGAGAGGAUGAUCAGCCACAUCGGGACUGAGACACGGCCCGAACUCCUACGGGAGGCAGCAGUGGGGAAUAUUGGACAAUGGGGGCAACCCUGAUCCAGCCAUGCCGCGUGUGUGAAGAAGGCCCUCGGGUUGUAAAGCACUUUCAGUGAGGAAGAAGGCUUGUCGGUUAAUACCCGGCAAGGGAGACAUCACUCACAGAAGAAGCACCGGCUAACUCCGUGCCAGCAGCCGCGGUAAUACGGAGGGUGCGAGCGUUAAUCGGAAUUACUGGGCGUAAAGCGUGCGUAGGCGGCUUGAUAAGCCGGUUGUGAAAGCCCCGGGCUCAACCUGGGAACGGCAUCCGGAACUGUCAGGCUAGAGUGCAGGAGAGGAAGGUAGAAUUCCCGGUGUAGCGGUGAAAUGCGUAGAGAUCGGGAGGAAUACCAGUGGCGAAGGCGGCCUUCUGGACUGACACUGACGCUGAGGUACGAAAGCGUGGGUAGCAAACAGGAUUAGAUACCCUGGUAGUCCACGCCGUAAACGAUGUCGACUAGCCGUUGGGGUCCUCGAGACCUUUUGUGGCGCAGUUAACGCACUAAGUCGACCGCCUGGGGAGUACGGCCGCAAGGUUAAAACUCAAUGAAUUGACGGGGCCCGCACAGCGGUGGAGCAUGGUGGUUUAAUUCGAUGCACGCGAGACUUACUACCCUUGACAUCGUGC
Molecule: ribosomal RNA, 937 nt
Filed under: Halomonas caseinilytica
Lineage: Bacteria; Pseudomonadati; Pseudomonadota; Gammaproteobacteria; Oceanospirillales; Halomonadaceae
Description: bacterial SSU rRNA
Rfam family: Bacterial small subunit ribosomal RNA
Source: RNAcentral